CUGUAAGCCUGUGAAGGUGUGCUGUGAGGCAUGCUGGAGGUAUCAGAAGUGCGAAUGCUGACAUAAGUAACGAUAAAGCGGGUGAAAAGCCCGCUCGCCGGAAGACCAAGGGUUCCUGUCCAACGUUAAUCGGGGCAGGGUGAGUCGACCCCUAAGGCGAGGCCGAAAGGCGUAGUCGAUGGGAAACAGGUUAAUAUUCCUGUACUUGGUGUUACUGCGAAGGGGGGACGGAGAAGGCUAUGUUGGCCGGGCGACGGUUGUCCCGGUUUAAGCGUGUAGGCUGGUUUUCCAGGCAAAUCCGGAAAAUCAAGGCUGAGGCGUGAUGACGAGGCACUACGGUGCUGAAGCAACAAAUGCCCUGCUUCCAGGAAAAGCCUCUAAGCAUCAGGUAACAUCAAAUCGUACCCCAAAC
Molecule: ribosomal RNA, 412 nt
Filed under: Escherichia coli
Lineage: Bacteria; Pseudomonadati; Pseudomonadota; Gammaproteobacteria; Enterobacterales; Enterobacteriaceae
Description: partial 23S ribosomal RNA
Rfam family: Bacterial large subunit ribosomal RNA
Source: RNAcentral